UAAAUCUUGGGUGUUAAUGUCGAUUGGAAAAAAAAUGGAGGGAUUAGAAGUGCGAACUGAAGAAAUUCCACUACUCGCCUCAUGAUAAUGAUGAGGCGCGGCUAGCAGACCUCAAUGAGCGUGUCCAAAUGGAUCAGUGGAAGGCCCUCAUUGAGUUUUGGAACUCUGAAGAGGGAAAGGUCCGUAAUAAGAUAAAUACGGAAAAUUGGAGAAAACAACGCAUUAGCCACACUGCAGGCACGAAGAGCUUUGUGCGAAUACGUGAAGAAGAGAGAAACAAGAGGGCCAAUGGGGAGGAUUUGACCCGAGUAGAUAUGUUCUUGUUGACACAUAGACGCAAGAAUGGGAUGCCUAUGGAUGAGGCCUCAGCAAGAGCAAUGGAACAAUUAAAUGAACGAACUUCGCAGCAGCCAGAAGCUUCACAUAAUAGCACUGCGAGGAAAGAUAUAUUCUCAGAAGUCAUGGGUGACGAACGACAUGGCCGUGUCCGCACUUAUAGGUUAGGUCCCUCUCCUUCUGAUAUAUGGGGCACAACAUCCCACAGUGUCCAGUCCCAAGGGAUGACCUCCAAUGCUCAGAAGAUAGAUGAACAAUAUGAGGAAUUGCAUGCUGAAAUAUCUUCACUAAAAGAAACUAUGGCUGAUAGAGAUGCUCAAAUAUCUUCACUAAGAGAAACUAUGACAACAUUGAUGGCUGCCAUAACGAAUCCAAGCAUUAAUCUAGCUACAUUAUUAGGUGUUUCAGCUAAUCCUAGCUUGAACCAACCCUCCUCAUCAUCAAGCCACUUGGUUCCAACCCCUCAGGUAAUUAUAAUAUAUACAUGUAUAUUUUUAUGUGUAAUAUGUUUUCAAUUAUACAUAGUUCGAGCUGUAUAUAAGAAUUGACAUUGAUUUAUCAUUUGUAAAGAGACUUGGUGAAUAAGGGGAAUUCUACGAGUUGCACUAAUGUGACUCAAGUUCUUCUUAAGAGUAUUGUAAGGCCUGGGGAUACUGUAGCUAAAGGAAUCGUUUUGAGCACGGAUCCAUUGACAAAAGUAGGGGGGCAAAAACUUGGAGUUGGUUUCUGGGAAGUAUCUGUUCAAGUGGCAAUCGUACGUGAUGAGGAUUUGAUAAGGACCCAUGGACGAUAUAAAACAAUUGGGGAUGCAAUUGGAACGAGUAUUGCUUGGCCCACUACUUUAUGUAUGGGUGCAGACAGAAAUGGAUGAUGACUACAUGAGAGAAGUUUUUAUUAAGUAUUUGGAACUGUAAACAUCUUUUGUAAGUGGGGGUAGUAGGGAUCUGUGGUUUCAGACUUUUGGAUUGAGUCAGACACAUCUAAACAAUUUAUUUUUAUCUUAGUUUAAUUAUAGAGAGCACAUCUAA
This is an RNA transcript of Magnolia sinica, 1364 nucleotides long. RefSeq lists it as uncharacterized. Lineage: Eukaryota; Viridiplantae; Streptophyta; Magnoliopsida; Magnoliales; Magnoliaceae. The record is from RefSeq and is a predicted model, not a curated record. The transcript has 5 exons.